GACGAACGCUGGCGGCGUGCUUAACACAUGCAAGUCGAACGGAAAGGCCCCUUUGGGGGUACUCGAGUGGCGAACGGGUGAGUAACACGUGAGUAACCUGCCCUUGACUUCGGGAUAACUUCAGGAAACUGGGGCUAAUACCGGAUAGGAAUCCUUGCUGCAUGGUGGGGGUUGGAAAGCUUCGGCGGUUUUGGAUGGACUUGCGGCUUAUCAGCUUGUUGGUGGGGUAGUGGCUUACCAAGGCUUUGACGGGUAGCCGGCCUGAGAGGGCGACCGGCCACAGUGGGACUGAGAUACGGCCCAGACUCCGGCGGGAGGGAGCAGUGGGGAAGAGUGAUCAAGGGGCGGAAGCCUGAUGCAGAAACGCCGCGUGCGGGAUGACGGCCUUCGUGUUGUAAACCGCUUUCAGCAGGGGCGAAGCUUGUGGUGACGGUACCUGCAGAAGAAGCACCGGCUAACUACGUG
Molecule: ribosomal RNA, 465 nt
Filed under: uncultured bacterium
Lineage: Bacteria
Description: partial 16S ribosomal RNA
Rfam family: Bacterial small subunit ribosomal RNA
Source: RNAcentral